Molecule: ribosomal RNA, 310 nt
Filed under: uncultured eukaryote
Lineage: Eukaryota
Description: partial 18S ribosomal RNA
Rfam family: Eukaryotic small subunit ribosomal RNA
Source: RNAcentral
CCCUUAGAUGUUCUGGGCUGCACGCGUGCUACACUGAUUACUUCAACAAGUGUUUUAACUGGAGAGUUUGCGUAAUCCUGGAAUGUUAUCGUGAUGGGAGUAGAGUAUUGUAUUUGUUAAUCUUUAACGAGGAAUUCCUAGUAAGUGUAGGUUUAUAAGUUGUUCUGAUUACGUCCCUGCCCUUUGUACACACCGCCCGUCGCUCCUACCGAUUGAUUGAUCCGGUGAAUUACAUAGAAUUUUGCGUUUUACAUGACGGAAGAUGAAGUGUUUUAAACCUUAUCAUUUAGAGGAAGGAGAAGUCGUAACA